Molecule: ribosomal RNA, 275 nt
Filed under: uncultured bacterium
Lineage: Bacteria
Description: partial 16S ribosomal RNA
Rfam family: Archaeal small subunit ribosomal RNA
Source: RNAcentral
AUACCGGCGGCCCGAGUGGCGGCCACUAUUAUUGGGCCUAAAGCGUCCGUAGCCGGGCUGGUAAGUCCCCCGGGAAAUCUGGCGGCUUAACCGUCAGACUGCCGGGGGAUACUGCCAGCCUAGGGACCGGGAGAGGCCGGGGGUAUUCCCGGGGUAGGGGUGAAAUCCUGUAAUCCCGGGAGGACCACCUGUGGCGAAGGCGCCCGGUUGGAACGGGUCCGACGGUGAGGGACGAAGGCCAGGGGAGCGAACCGGAUUAGAAACCCUAGUAGUCC